This is a long non-coding RNA of Musa acuminata AAA Group (dessert banana), 2371 nucleotides long. RefSeq lists it as uncharacterized. The transcript has 4 exons. The record is from RefSeq and is a predicted model, not a curated record. Lineage: Eukaryota; Viridiplantae; Streptophyta; Magnoliopsida; Zingiberales; Musaceae.
AGACACAGCCCUAACAUGUACAUGUGUACAGGCCAAUAAAAGCGACGACCGUCCUUGGCAUACCGGCGGUUUCUUUGCUCGAUAGGGUUUCUACCUCCCGGCGUUCCUUUGAUCGUUCAGCGAUCGAUCUCGUUCUUUUCCCCGUCGGCGGUUUUUCUUAUCGUGAGGGUUUUUUUCUUCGCGUCGUUUCGUUGAUCAUUCAGCGUUCUCGUUCGCCUUGGAUUGCAGGAUAUGUACUCCCGGAAGCCGAAGGAGGAUGGAUGGCGCCCCUGGAGUGCUUUCAAGGGCCCUUAGACCGACGAGGAGUUAAAUUUUUACCGAUUAGACUAAUGUAACAUCGGAUUCAACCAUCAACGGUGCCGUAUGUUUUGCUCAAGGGUUCGACGUUACGGUUCUUGAUUGGAGCUGCAACCUAACGCAGUUUUCAGCAAGAGUUCGAAGUUUUGGUGCCAAAGUGGGGUGGGGUUGGAGGGGCCAAACGAGGAUUACAUCCCUUUUUUGGCAUGUGGGGGACUUGGGCCCCCAAGUUCUUCAGAGGGUCGGUGUUACAAGCCUUUGGUUCCUGUACAGCCUUUGACAGCGCCGCCUUCACAUUGACAAGCUCCUUCUUAAUUCUGCAGUUAAAAGUUGCAACCGUAGAGUUUUGGGCACAGCCUAAAUGCAUGGUGCCAAUGGGAAUCGAACGAUGUUAGUAAUCGAUUCCUGGGAGAUUGAGAACUCAGGAGUCGUGGAAGAACAAAAUGGUAGAACUGCUGUUUAUAGAGUGAGAAGGCGGGUUGGGGGUAUACUUUUGUGGUAUAAAAGAGCAAACAGAAAAUUGCUGGUUCAGCUGUAGUAAAUCGUGGAGUUUGCAUGGCGAGUCUAGCACGACCUCCUCGACGAGGAGUUGAGGAACUUGAUGCAGUCUUCGAUGGCCUCCGACAGGUGAGUCUCUUCAGGAGCAGCGAACCUCUGUGGAGUCAUGCUGGAAGAAACCUUGGACGGUGGCUGCCGCCGGCUUCCGGAGAUGAAGUCUAAGGCCCUCGACGUUUUGCGGAAGAAUCGUAUCGCCGAGAGGCGUGCGCUGUUGAGUAGCCGAGAUGAGAAGCCCCUGCGUCCGCGAUCCUCCUCCUGAUCCCCGAAAUGGAUGUCGGACGUUCGAGAGACCGUCGGCUUCGCAUGGAUAUUGCUGUCGAGGCUGAAGCCGACGCUCCUCUCGCUCUUGUUCAACAUCUGAUCUGGCGUCCAAGAACGGACUUGCCGUAGGAGGGCUGGCGGCGAGACAUUUAUGGCGAGGCUUCCGCACUGUGCCAAGAGAACACCAAAGGGAAAGGGAAAAAAGGGAGCGUUGAAGAGACUACAGAGAAGGAAGUGGGUUGGACUGUCAGUGAGCAGACGGUGCCUGCCUGCCUGCUCGCUUGAUGGAAGAGACUGGCAGCAGUGGUGGACUAAAAGUGGGCGUCGUUGUGGAGCACUGACUGGGCUGGUAUAUACUUGGAGUCAUGCUUUGGUCGAUGGCACGAGAAUCUUAUCAGCCUAGAAGCAAGCGAAAGCCCAAAGCCCCCAGAGGAGAAGGGGACGGUCAGAGAGGAAAGGGUCGUGAUACUUUCACGAGACGAUCUCAUUUCUUUUGAGGUGCGCACCCGCCCCAUUCCCCUCCCCCUCUUCUUUCUGAAAUGGCGUGCAUCGAUUUCAAAGCUUCCAUGGAGCGAGAGCGCUUUGCUUUGGGUCCAUGGGCAAGACCAUCAUUUUGCCGGGGCGUACUGCAUGCAGGUUAACGUACGGUAUGAUGAAUCGGAUCCAUCUCGCGUUCGUACAUCAUCAGUGUCUCGAGCAUGAUGGGGGUACGUACCUGUGUAUGAGAGUCAUGUUAAGCAGCUCAAAUCCCAACGGGUUAGGCCCAUGUGGUCGAACAUCUGAUCAUAGGGGAGGUUAUCGGUCGGAUUUCUCUACUUUUUUUCUCUUUGGUUCAUUGUCGAGUGUCGAUGUUGGACUGGGUGUUUGACCAUGUGGGUACGAGGAGCAGGCAUAAAGAAAACGGAUGGGUUACAUCAGGUAUCUGAAAAAGGGCGAGGAAAAGAAAACUCAUUAAUAUGACUAGUGAUAAAAACAAAAAAAACAAAAAUACUAGUAUAUGACUAGGGAGAUCAUAAAAUUGUUUCGUGUUUGGUAUUAAUAUGUGACUAGGGAGAGAUCAUCAACAUCUAUCUAUAUAGUUGACGCCAACUGACACAAGGUUAUUUAUUAUUAUCAUUGAUCUUCUACUAGGAUGAUUUGGGGAGCUGAAGUACAUGGUUGUUCUACGAAUUGUAUUCCUCCUUUUAUAAGUUUGAUUCAUGUAUUCCUUCAUUCACAUGCGGUGUUUAAUAAUCUAUUGCUUUUUGUUCUCUAA